RNAcentral lists this ribosomal RNA (468 nucleotides) under uncultured bacterium. RNAcentral describes it as "partial 16S ribosomal RNA". It matches the Rfam family "Bacterial small subunit ribosomal RNA", at positions 28 to 507 of the family's 1533-position model. The record is from RNAcentral.
GACGAACGCUGGCGGCGUGCUUAACACAUGCAAGUCGAACGGAAAGGCCCUGCUUUUGUUGGUUGCUCGAGUGGCGAACGGGUGAGUAACACGUGAGUAACCUGCCCUUGACUUUGGGAUAACUUCAGGAAACUGGGGCUAAUACCGGAUAGGAGCUCCUGCUGCAUGGUGGGGGUUGGAAAGUUUCGGCUGUUGGGGAUGGACUCGCGGCUUAUCAGCUUGUUGGUGGGGUAGUGGCUUACCAAGGCUUUGACGGGUAGCCGGCCUGAGAGGGUGACCGGCCACACUGGGACUGAGAUACGGGCCAGACUCCUACGGGAGGCAGCAGUGGGGAAUAUGGCACAAUGGGCGGAAGCCGGAUGCAGCAACGCCGCGGGCGGGAUGACGGCCUUCGGGUUGUAAACCGCUUUCGCCUGUGACGAAGCGAGAGUGACGGUAAUGGGUAAAGAAGCACCGGCUAACUACGUG